GAAUUUUGGACAAUGGGGGCAACCCUGAUCCAGCCAUCCCGCGUGUGCGAUGAAGGCCUUCGGGUUGUAAAGCACUUCUGGCAGGGAAGAAAAGGCUCCGGCUAAUCCCUUGAUCCGCUGACGGUACCUGCAGAAUCAGCACCGGCUACCUCCGCGCCAGCAGCCGCGGUAAUACGUAGGGUGCAAGCGUUAAUCGGAAUUACUGGGCGUAAAGCGUGCGCAGGCGGUUCGGCAAGAAGGAUGUGAAAUCCCAGGGCUUAACCUUGGAACUGCAUUCUUAACUGCCGGGCUAGAGUAUGCCAGAGGGGGGUAGAAUUCCGCGUGUAGCAGUGAAAUGCGUAGAGAUGCGGAGGAAUACCGAUGGCGAAGGCAGCCCCCUGGGAUAAUACUGACGCUCAUGCACGAAAGCGUGGGGAGCAAAC
Molecule: ribosomal RNA, 422 nt
Filed under: uncultured bacterium
Lineage: Bacteria
Description: bacterial SSU rRNA
Rfam family: Bacterial small subunit ribosomal RNA
Source: RNAcentral